UUUGUAGCCUGCUAUGGUAUAACUUAGUGGCAGACGGGUGAGUAAUGUAUAGGAAUCUACCUAGUAGUACGGAAUAAUUGUUGGAAACGGCAACUAAUACCGUAUACGCCCCACGGGGGAAAAAUUUAUUGCUAUUAGAUGAGCCUAUAUUAGAUUAGCUUGUUGGUAGGGUAAUAGCUUACCAAGGCAAUGAUCUAUAGCUGAUCUGAGAGGAUGAUCAGCCACACUGGAACUGAGAUACGGUCCAGACUCCUACGGGAGGCAGCAGUGGGGAAUAUUGGACAAUGGGCGAAAGCCUGAUCCAGCUAUGCCGCAUGAGUGAAGAAGGCCUUUGGGUUGUAAAGCUCUUUUAGUGAGGAAGAUAAUGACGGUACUCACAGAAGAAGUCCUGGCUAACUCCGUGCCAGCAGCCGCGGUAAUACGGAGAGGGCUAGCGUUAUUCGGAAUUAUUGGGCGUAAAGGGCGCGUAGGCUGAUUAAUAAGUUAAAAGUGAAAUCCCGAGGCUUAACCUUGGAAUUGCUUUUAAAACUGUUAAUCUAGAGAUUGAAAGAGGAUAGAGGAAUUCCUAGUGUAGAGGUAAAAUUCGUAAAUAUUAGGAGGAACACCAGUGGCGAAGGCGUCUAUCUGGUUCAAAUCUGACGCUGAGGCGCGAAGGCGUGGGGAGCAAACAGGAUUAGAUACCCUGGUAGUCCACGCUGUAAACGAUGAAUGUUAAAUAUGGGAAAUUUAUUUUCUGUAUUACAGCUAACGCGUUAAACAUUCCGCCUGGGGACUACGGUCGCAAGAUUAAAACUCAAAGGAAUUGACGGGGACCCGCACAAGCGGUGGAGCAUGUGGUUUAAUUCGAUGCAACGCGAAAAACCUUACCACUCCUUGACAUG
This 881-nucleotide ribosomal RNA is filed under the name Wolbachia pipientis. Its description in RNAcentral is "bacterial SSU rRNA". It matches the Rfam family "Bacterial small subunit ribosomal RNA", at positions 72 to 988 of the family's 1533-position model. Lineage: Bacteria; Pseudomonadati; Pseudomonadota; Alphaproteobacteria; Rickettsiales; Anaplasmataceae. The record is from RNAcentral.